UACGGAGGGUGCGAGCGUUGUCCGGAUUUAUUGGGCGUAAAGAGCGUGUAGGCGGCCAGGCAGGUCCGCUGUGAAAACUCGAGGCUCAACCUCGAGAGGUCGGUGGAAACCGUCUGGCUAGAGUCCGGAAGAGGAGAGUGGAAUUCCCGGUGUAGCGGUGAAAUGCGCAGAUAUCGGGAGGAACACCAGUGGCGAAGGCGGCUUCCUGGACCGGUUCUGACACUGAGGAGCGAAAGCGUGGGGAGCGAUCCGG
Molecule: ribosomal RNA, 253 nt
Filed under: uncultured bacterium
Lineage: Bacteria
Description: partial 16S ribosomal RNA
Rfam family: Bacterial small subunit ribosomal RNA
Source: RNAcentral